CUGACUUCUCUUCCUAUUUCUGUGUCUUUCCCUCAGAUCCUGAGCUCCAUCAUGGUCUACUGCCUGGCAACUUCAACCGUAUCCCUGAUUCUCUCCUUGCUGGCCAGCUUUGCCCCAGUGGCUCCCCUCCUGCAAAUAGGGCAAAAGGCAUGGAGAUGAGACCAGAGUGUCCGGCUCUGGGGGUUUGAUGGACCGAGACAGACAAGUGAGCGUACAAGCAAACAUUUUGAAAACGAGCGCAUGAGUCAAUGGUCAGGACUGGUGCACGUUGAUUGGGGUGGAUGUAACUGAAGGGUCACUAGUAGGAUUUCCACAGCCAGCUGGCUCAGGGCCUCUCUGGUCACCCUGGGAAAGCCUUACUUUUUGAAAGGUUCCAGUCCUCUCUCAGUGAAAACACACGGGUGUGACAACACCCAUGGUUCCCUGACCUCCACAGACUGAGGUCUGAGCCCAUUGAAAUCAGGUGUCUGAAGUCACGCAGAAUGGCUUUCAGUGGUGCUGUGAGCCGACCGUUUCAGGGUACUCCUUCCUCCGAUUUCACAGAUGUGUCGGUUGGAUUUUAUUCUUAAGUGGCCUAAGCCAAAAGCAUCUUCUCCCAGAAACAGCAGGUUCAUUUCAAUUCAAUAUUUCACUUUGGACAACUGCUUGCCUUCAUUUAGCGCCGCAUGCUGGGACUUGGUCUCCCCGGGCGUUCUGGCUUCCCUCCCGUUAGCGACGGUGGCAGCAGUGCAGACAGAUUGAGGCCCCAGGAAGGCGGACCCCCCAACUGCGCGGCAGCAGUGAGCUGGGAGCAGAGGCUGUGCACGCUAAUGGUUGUGAGUGCUGCUUUUCCAGCCAUGAGCUGUCUAUAUCGCAUUUGCGUGGAGACACAAAACAUCUAACUAUCAGACGAAGCCAGACGCAACACCCAGCACAGAGAGGACAGCGUCUUCUCCAGCUGUGUCUGGUGCCCGGGGUCACCGAGGGGAAAAAUGACAAUGCCUUGUGUGCUGGGUGGUGGGUG
This 1003-nucleotide long non-coding RNA is filed under the name Marmota monax (woodchuck). The record is from RNAcentral. Lineage: Eukaryota; Metazoa; Chordata; Mammalia; Rodentia; Sciuridae.